CAAGAAUGAGAGGCAGGUAAGGAAACACUUCUCACACUGCAAGUGUAUCAUUACAACACCCAGGGAUCUUGUUGAAAUGCAGACUCUGAUUCCUUAGGUCUGGGUGGGACUUGAGAUUCCUCAUUUCUUAUAAGUUCCCUGCUGAUGUCAAUUUGACUAGUCCUUGGGCCACACUAAGUGUAGCAAGGAGAAUCACGCAUCACAAUGCCAAGAUUCUCCCCACAAAAUUGUGGCCCUUCCUUCUGUCCCUAACUUUAUGGAAACAGUAACUGGAACCUUCAUCUCUCCUGACAAUGGGGCAAGGGAGACAACGUCUGCUUCUGGGGCUAUCGUAGGAUGAUAUGAGAGGAGCAGGUCAUGACUAUGCCUGGCACUGAACCUAGGACUCAGAGCAGGUUGUGAAUGUCACUCACUGUCCUUCCUUAUUUCUUGAGCCUGCAGAUGUUAAGGAUGCAGCAAGACUGGAGCAAAGGGCUGGAAGAAGAAUAAGGACUGGAGUAAGAGAGCCAUGAGUGCAAGAAAGGCCCUACCAGCUAUUCUGGGGAACAUAUACAAUAGUCCCUUCUUAUCCACGGUUUCGCUUUCCACAGUUAACUGUGGUCCAAAAAUAUUAAAUAGAACAUUCCAGAAAUAAACAAUUUGUAAGUUUUA
Molecule: long non-coding RNA, 651 nt
Filed under: Homo sapiens (human)
Lineage: Eukaryota; Metazoa; Chordata; Mammalia; Primates; Hominidae
Description: HSALNT0382701
Source: RNAcentral